CCUACGGGCGGCAGCAGUCGAGAAUCAUUCACAAUGGGGGAAACCCUGAUGGUGCGACGCCGCGUGGGGGAAUGAAGGUCUUCGGAUUGUAAACCCCUGUCAUGUGGGAGCAAAUUAAAAAGAUAGUACCACAAGAGGAAGAGACGGCUAACUCUGUGCCAGCAGCCGCGGUAAUACCGAGGUCUCAAGCGUGGUUCGGAAUCACUGGGCGUAAAGCGUGCGUAGGCUGUUUCGUAAGUCGUGUGUGAAAGGCGCGGGCUCAACCCGCGGACGGCACAUGAUACUGCGAGACUAGAGUAAGGGAGGGGGAAGCGGAAUUCUCGGUGUAGCAGUGAAAUGCGUAGAUAUCGAGAGGAACACUCGUGGCGAAGGCGGGUUCCUGGACAUUAACUGACGCUGAGGCACGAAGGCCAGGGGAGCGAAAGGGAUUAGAUACCCGAGUAGUC
This 446-nucleotide ribosomal RNA is filed under the name uncultured bacterium. RNAcentral describes it as "partial 16S ribosomal RNA". It matches the Rfam family "Bacterial small subunit ribosomal RNA", at positions 338 to 795 of the family's 1533-position model. The record is from RNAcentral.